AACGAACGCUGGCGGCAUGCCUAACACAUGCAAGUCGAACGAGAUCUUCGGGUCUAGUGGCGCACGGGUGCGUAACGCGUGGGAAUCUGCUCUUUGGUUCGGAAUAACAGUUGGAAACGACUGCUAAUACCGGAUGAUGACGAAAGUCCAAAGAUUUAUCGCCAGAGGAUGAGCCCGCGUAGGAUUAGCUAGUUGGUGUGGUAAAGGCGCACCAAGGCGACGAUCCUUAGCUGGUCUGAGAGGAUGAUCAGCCACACUGGGACUGAGACACGGCCCAGACUCCUACGGGAGGCAGCAGUGGGGAAUAUUGGACAAUGGGCGAAAGCCUGAUCCAGCAAUGCCGCGUGAGUGAUGAAGGCCUUAGGGUUGUAAAGCUCUUUUACCCGGGAUGAUAAUGACAGUACCGGGAGAAUAAGCGCCGGCUAACUCCGUGCCAGCCGCCGCGGUAA
RNAcentral lists this ribosomal RNA (449 nucleotides) under uncultured bacterium. RNAcentral's name for it is "partial 16S ribosomal RNA". It matches the Rfam family "Bacterial small subunit ribosomal RNA", at positions 29 to 523 of the family's 1533-position model. The record is from RNAcentral.